GCUCGCGUAGCUUAAUCAAAGCAAGACACUGAAGAUGUCUAGAUGGGCGUUGAAAAACCCCGCAAGCA
This 68-nucleotide transfer RNA is filed under the name Hypomesus transpacificus. Its description in RNAcentral is "tRNA-Phe". It matches the Rfam family "tRNA". Rfam says of the family: Transfer RNA (tRNA) molecules are approximately 80 nucleotides in length. Their secondary structure includes four short double-helical elements and three loops (D, anti-codon, and T loops). The record is from RNAcentral. Lineage: Eukaryota; Metazoa; Chordata; Actinopteri; Osmeriformes; Osmeridae.